RNAcentral lists this ribosomal RNA (815 nucleotides) under Epidendrum denticulatum. RNAcentral describes it as "eukaryotic LSU rRNA". The stretch from base 343 to 498 matches the Rfam family "5.8S ribosomal RNA". Lineage: Eukaryota; Viridiplantae; Streptophyta; Magnoliopsida; Asparagales; Orchidaceae. The record is from RNAcentral.
UUCGCCGCCCGCGACUCUGCGAGAAGUCCAUUGAACCUUAUCAUUUAGAGGAAGGAGAAGUCGUAACAAGGUUUCCGUAGGUGAACCUGCGGAAGGAUCAUUGUCGAGACCGAAAUAUAUAUAUAUCGAGCGAUUCGGAGAACUCGUGAAUGUGCGGCGGCAUUCGGCGUCGCGGAACAGCCGUCUCGAUCCUGGCCUCAUCUUCAUCGGGGGGGGCCACGGUGAGGGGCGGAUGAAAAACUCAAACCGGCGCAGUUACGCGCCAAGGAAAAUAUCGAAAAACAUGAGCCCUGUAUCGGGUUUUAUGGCAUGGGGUGUUGUUGCACGCCAUGUGGUUGACAUGACUCUCGGCAAUGGAUAUCUCGGCUCUCGCAUCGAUGAAGAGCGCAGCGAAAUGCGAUACGUGGUGCGAAUUGCAGAAUCCCGCGAACCAUCGAGAAUUUGAACGCAAGUUGCGCCCGAGGCCAGCCGGCCGAGGGCACGUCCGCCUGGGCGUCAAGCGUUGCGUCGCUCCGUGCCAACUCCAGCACACCCAACGGGUGCGUCGGUCGAGGCUCGGAUGUGUAGAGUGGCCCGUCGCGCCCGUCGGUGCGCCGGGCUGAAGAUUGGGUCAUCGUCUCAUCGGCCAUGAACAGCAAGGGGUGGAUGAAAGUUGUGCCUGUGCUGCGUCGUGCCGGAUCGAGAAGAGAUUAUGCCUUUGAGGUGAUCCCAACCCAUGCGCCGAUCCCAAGGGGCGGCGGCUUGGAAUGCGACCCCAGGAUGGGCGAGGCCACCCGCCGAGUUUAAGCAUAUCAAUAAGCGGAGGAGAAGAAACU